RNAcentral lists this ribosomal RNA (484 nucleotides) under uncultured bacterium. RNAcentral's name for it is "partial 16S ribosomal RNA". It matches the Rfam family "Bacterial small subunit ribosomal RNA", at positions 30 to 507 of the family's 1533-position model. The record is from RNAcentral.
AUUGAACGCUGGCGGCAGGCCUAACACAUGCAAGUCGAGCGGAUGAAGGGAGCUUGCUCCUGGAUUCAGCGGCGGACGGGUGAGUAAUGCCUAGGAAUCUGCCUGGUAGUGGGGGAUAACGUCCGGAAACGGGCGCUAAUACCGCAUACGUCCUGAGGGAGAAAGUGGGGGAUCUUCGGACCUCACGCUAUCAGAUGAGCCUAGGUCGGAUUAGCUAGUUGGUGGGGUAAAGGCCUACCAAGGCGACGAUCCGUAACUGGUCUGAGAGGAUGAUCAGUCACACUGGAACUUAGACACGGUCCCGACUCCUAACGGAGGCAGCAGUGGGGAAUAUUGGAACAUGGGCGAAAGCCUGAUCCAGCCAUGCCGCGUGUGUGAAGAAGGUCUUCGGAUUGUAAAGCACUUUAAGUUGGGAGGAAGGGCAGUAAGUUAGUACCUUGCUGUUUUGACGUUACCAACAGAAUAAGCACCGGCUAACUUCGUG